UACGUAGGGUGCAGGCGUUAAUCGGAAUUACUGGGCGUAAAGCGUGCGCAGGCGGCUAUGCAAGACAGAUGUGAAAUCCCCGGGCUCAACCUGGGAACUGCAUUUGUGACUGCAUAGCUAGAGUACGGUAGAGGGGGAUGGAAUUCCGCGUGUAGCAGUGAAAUGCGUAGAUAUGCGGAGGAACACCGAUGGCGAAGGCAAUCCCCUGGACCUGUACUGACGCUCAUGCACGAAAGCGUGGGGAGCAAACAGG
Molecule: ribosomal RNA, 253 nt
Filed under: uncultured bacterium
Lineage: Bacteria
Description: partial 16S ribosomal RNA
Rfam family: Bacterial small subunit ribosomal RNA
Source: RNAcentral